AUGGUGUCGCUGGCCGCUGCGGCCGCCGCACUGUACGCGCGCAUGGCCUCGUCCGUCUCACGCCCCGGUCUCCCGCGCCUCGUCGCACUGCUCCCGCUCUUCCCGUUCCUCGCCGCCGCUCCCCUGGCCUUGACUUCCUCCGUCAUCGUCCGGGCCACCGCCGCCUUCUUCCUGGCCUGGCUCUGCGUGUUCAAGCUCGCCCUCCUCGCCGCCGGCCGCGGCCCGCUCGACCCCGCGCUCCCCGUGCUCCCGUUCCUCAUCACCGCGCUGCUCCCCGUCAAGCUCCGCGGUGCUGCCGGAGCAGCGGCGCUGACCAAGGCCAGCAAGCCGGUGUCGCUCGUUUCUUGCGCGGCCAAGGUCGCCGUCAUAGCCGCCAUCCUCAGCAUCUACCCGUACAACUCUCGGCUGCACCCCUACGCGCGCCGGGCCGUGUACGGCGUCCACAUAUACUGCUUCCUGGACCUCUUCUUCCCCUGCAUCGCGGCGGCCGCCGGCGCGCUCGGCAUGGAGACGGAGCCGCAGUUCGACCGGCCCUACCUGGCCUCCUCGCUGCGGGACUUCUGGGGCCGGCGGUGGAACCUCAUGGUGUCGGCCAUCCUCCGGCCGUCGGUGUACGACCCCGUGCGCGCGCGCGCCGGGAGCCCCGCCGGCGUGCUGGCCACCUUCCUGGUGUCCGGGCUGAUGCACGAGGGCAUGGUGUACUACCUCAGCCUCCGGCGCCCGGACGGCGGGAUGACCGCCUUCUUCCUGCUCCACGGCGCUUGCUGCGUCGCCGAGGGCUGGUGCGCGCGGCGGUGGGCGGCGAGGGGGUGGCCGUCGCCGCCGCGGGCCGUGGCGACGGUGCUGGUGGUGGUGUUCGUCGCGGGCACGUCGUUCUGGCUCUUCUUCCCGCCGCUGUGCAAGGACGGAGGCGAGGAGAAGCUGCUGGAGGAGUGGGCUGCCGUGGCGGCCUUCUUCCUCGACGCCGGCAGAAAGAUUAAUGGCAUUGUACGUUCAACGGACUAA
RNAcentral lists this ribosomal RNA (1005 nucleotides) under Triticum aestivum (bread wheat). RNAcentral's name for it is "partial small subunit ribosomal RNA". The record is from RNAcentral. Lineage: Eukaryota; Viridiplantae; Streptophyta; Magnoliopsida; Poales; Poaceae.